ACGGAAGGCAGCAGUGGGGAAUAUUGGGCAAUGGGCGAAAGCCUGACCCAGCAACGCCGCGUGAAGGAAGAAGGUCUUCGGAUUGUAAACUUCUUUUAUGAGGGACGAAGGACGUGACGGUACCUCAUGAAUAAGCCACGGCUAACUACGUGCCAGCAGCCGCGGUAAUACGUAGGUGGCAAGCGUUGUCCGGAUUUACUGGGUGUAAAGGGCGUGUAGCCGGGGGAGCAAGUCAGAUGUGAAAUCUAUGGGCUUAACCCAUAAACUGCAUUUGAAACUGUUCUUCUUGAGUGCUGGAGGGGCAAUCGGAAUUCCUUGUGUAGCGGUGAAAUGCGUAGAUAUAAGGAGGAACACCAGUGGCGAAGGCGGAUUGCUGGACAGUAACUGACGGUGAGGCGCGAAAGUGUGGGGAGCAAACAGGAUUAGAUACCCUGGUA
This 437-nucleotide ribosomal RNA is filed under the name uncultured Oscillibacter sp. RNAcentral describes it as "bacterial SSU rRNA". It matches the Rfam family "Bacterial small subunit ribosomal RNA", at positions 341 to 792 of the family's 1533-position model. The record is from RNAcentral. Lineage: Bacteria; Bacillati; Bacillota; Clostridia; Eubacteriales; Oscillospiraceae.